RNAcentral lists this transfer RNA (66 nucleotides) under marine eukaryotic metagenome. It matches the Rfam family "tRNA". Rfam says of the family: Transfer RNA (tRNA) molecules are approximately 80 nucleotides in length. Their secondary structure includes four short double-helical elements and three loops (D, anti-codon, and T loops). The record is from RNAcentral.
AGUGUAGCUCAAUUGGUAGAGCACCGGUCUCCAAAACCGGGGGUUGGAGGUUCGAGUCCUCUCACU